RNAcentral lists this transfer RNA (77 nucleotides) under Sphingomonadales bacterium. Its description in RNAcentral is "tRNA-OTHER". The record is from RNAcentral. Lineage: Bacteria; Pseudomonadati; Pseudomonadota; Alphaproteobacteria; Sphingomonadales.
GGGACAGGUUUGGCGACUCAGAAAGAAAUUGGCUCUUACUCAAUGGGUUUAAGGUUCGAAUCCUUGAACCCCCACCA